UGAGGUUCUGUAAAAAGAAAUACUAAUAGAUGCAAGGGGAAACGAUAAGCACAUGCUUUCUCAUUAUGUAUGAAGGGCAACAAAGGCAUGCGAGUUGUUUUCAAGACAAGUAAUGUCCCAUACAAUUAUCUUCGCGCAAGGAAAGCAUAACUGCAUACGGAUAGGAAAAAGAAUACACGAAAGCACCCAUUACAGCGGCAAUGGGCAUAACAUAUUAAUAGUUUCCAGGCAGUCUGUGCGCAAUUGAAUCGUCGAAGGGUUGGUACUAUGUAAAAGUGUGCUACCACCCCUACUCCAAUUUCCAUUGCAGGCAGAGUUUGCGUCAAUUCACUCUUCAAUCGAAACGCCAUUACACGUUCGAGUCCAAACGAAUCGCUUCAUGACAAAAGUGUGAAUUGUUUCUCUUCUGAGGGUCCAUUUAUUCGUUUAUCAUCGAGUUCUCUUGCUCGUAAAAUGCGUAAUUGUUUUCAUCUUGCUUCGCUAUGUUUGGGAACGUAACUCCAGAGAGGGCCAUAGAGUUUACUUGGUACAGCGUAGCUUUGAACUACUGUUGGCCACCGCCAUCGACAGCCACCAGACCUCGGAUGGUUUAUUUCAAGAUCGUGAGGAUCCUAGCGAUUCUUAGCGCCUUUGCACUCGUUCUACCUCUUUUGUACUCACUCCACGUGCACCGGAACGAUCCAGUCAUCUUCACCAAAGCGGCCUGCCUCGCAGCAUCUGUUUCACAGAUCCCGAUGCAAUCAUUUUUCUGCAUUGUUCAUUACGAUCGCCUCCAGGCGUUGACCGAACAGAUGGUGGAUUACUGCGCGAAAGCGAGGUCGUACGAAAGGUUCGUGCUGCAACGUUACGUCAACAAGUACUCAACGUUCUACGGGGUGUCAGCGACUUGGUUCUACUUGACGGCGACUGUCGUCGUCGUGGGAUCAUUGUUCGUAGAUCAGCCCUUCCCAACGGAAGCAGAGUACCCGUUUCCUGUAAAUUUCAUGCCUCUGAGGACGACGCUCUUCAUCCACCAAGCGUUUGUUGGUUUGCAGUGCGCCGCCAUCGUUUGCAUGAACAUGUUCGCUGCCCUCCUUUUGUUGUUCGCAGCUGCUAGGUUUGAAAUUUUAAUGCUGGAACUGCGCUCUGUUCAGGACAUCGGAACGUUGAUACAAUGCAUACGAAAGUACUACCAUGUGAGAAAAUAUGCACAGGAAGUGGUUACGUUUGUGCAGUAUACAGCACUCUCCACGACGAUAGUAGCCAGCGUUCUACUCGUACUCAGUGGUUUUCACAUCGUCGGAGUAAGUCUGCAGCCGUACUGUUGUUCUCUUUUAACCGCAUUGUGGAAACAUGAAAAGACUUUCUUGCUUCACAGCGACAACCGCUUGCAAUCAAAGUGCAAUUUAUAUUCCUGGCUUUGACUGCACUGGUAGAGGUUUUCAUGUGCGCCUGGCCAGCUGACAACUUGUUGGAGGUGAGCGAAAGUACUAUUCGAAGCUUGUACGAUAUGGGAUGGUACGAACAAUGUUUGAAAAUGCAGAAGACAGUGAUGCAAACGUUGCUACCUCAGAAGCCGAUAGUAAUCAGUAUCGCGUGUGUCAUUCCAGUCUUGUCGUUG
Molecule: RNA transcript, 1600 nt
Organism: Hylaeus anthracinus
Lineage: Eukaryota; Metazoa; Arthropoda; Insecta; Hymenoptera; Colletidae
Exons: 4
Source: RefSeq, a predicted model, not a curated record